GAUGAACGCUAGCGACAGGCUUAACGCAUGCAAGUCGAGGGGCAGCAUAAAAGUAGCAAUACUUUGGUGGCGACCGGCGCACGGGUGAGUAACGCGUAUGCAACCUACCUAUCAGAGGGGAAUAACCCGGCGAAAGUCGGACUAAUACCGCAUAAAACAGGGGCACCGCAUGGUGAUAUUUGUUAACGAAAUUCGCUGAUAGAUGGGGAGGCGUUCCAUUAGGUAGUUGGUGAGGUAACGGCUCACCAAGCCGACGAUGGAUAGGGGAACUGAGAGGUUCGUCCCCCACACUGGUACUGCGACACGGACCAGACUCCUACGGGAGGCAGCAGUGAGGAAUAUUGGUCAAGGGGCGGGAGCCUGAACCAGCCAAGUCGCGUGAAGGAAGAAGGAUCUAUGGUUCGUAAACUUCUUUUGCAGGGGAAAAAAGUGCAGGACGUGUCCUGUUUUGUAUGUACCCUGAGAAUAAGGAUCGGCUAACUCCGUGCCAGCCGCCGCAGUAA
This 503-nucleotide ribosomal RNA is filed under the name uncultured bacterium. RNAcentral's name for it is "partial 16S ribosomal RNA". It matches the Rfam family "Bacterial small subunit ribosomal RNA", at positions 28 to 523 of the family's 1533-position model. The record is from RNAcentral.